ACACCAAAAGUGGAUGUUUACAGUUUUGGUAUGGUACUGUUGGAAAUCAUAUCCGGAAAGAGGAACACACCGGAAGUAAAUAGUAAGAGCAGUUAUCAGGUUGCGUUUUUCCCAGUGCAGGCCAUCAGCAAGCUUCAUGAGGGAGACCUGCAGAGUUUGGUGGAUCGACAGUUACAUGGUGACUUCGACUUGGAAGAGGCUGAAAGGGUUUGCAAAGUUGCAUUUUGGUGCAUCCAAGACAAUGAAUGUGAUCGGCCGACAAUGGGUGAAGUAGUCCGUGUUCUUGAGGGCCUUCAGGAGCUCAAUAUGCCCCCGAUGCCAAGACUACUUGCAGCUAUAACGGAACGCUCUGAUGCAGCUUCAAUGUAAUAAUUGCAGUUGAUGUUUAUUUUUGUUUCAGCAAAUUUGGAAGUUGUAUUUUGGAGCUGAAGGAAUAAAAGGACAAGCUUGCAAUAUCUAAUUGAGUUUUUUGGUGCAUGUGGUCUCCCAUUUGCCUAUUUACGUUACGCUGUUUUAGUGACUAACUCUAGCAAAAUACGGCAAAGCUAGAAAUAUGUGUCUGCAUAUUGAUGAAAAGAGUCAACAUAUAUCCUUAAAUUGAAGGAGCAUUUGAUGUAUGCCACUGCUGAUUGCUUGCCUUAGAGAUAUUCCACUUCUUCUCUGCAGGGUAUGUGUGUGCUGUCUGAGUUGUUCAGCUCUGUUAUCCGGGGCAGAGCAACUGUGAGCUUUUUUUUUCAGAGAUGUCAAAGUAACCCCGAGUUCGGUUCUCUGGUAGAAAGGAGCGGUUCCGCAAUUUUGAGGGAUUUUUUUUUUGCUGUCUCUGUACGUUCUUCAGAACCUCAGGAGGAGACUCUGUUUGUUACUUUGGGUGCCCUGAACGUUCAGAAUAAGACUUCUUCUGAGCCGCAUCUGAAGAUACAAUGCUAUCUCUGAACUCUGAAGAAUACUUCUCCUAUUCUCUUUCAGGGAAAUGUGCAGUUGUUCAGGUGUGAUGUGAUCUUGGUGGGCUGUAAAUUAUACAUUGUCCUAGGUGUGAAGAAUACCCCGUCAUAUAAACAGUCUUCAUCGAUGGAUGAUGCGUCCAGCACCAGACCGAAUUGUCCUGUCGCCAGACUGUUUCUUCUCGUCGCCGACUACAGUAUUUGCCUGGGUUUUUGGUUGAUGUGCCCAUCGUUACUGAACUGUCAGUUAGGCUCCUGCCUGUAGUCGUCGUCGUCCUCGAAACACCCUGACCAGCGCAAACCCGUUGGUUCACACCAUCUCCUGCCGAGCUCAAUGCCAGACAUCUUGACCCAUCCGGCCGCGCAUUCCGCGCAGCCCUGACGACUAUGAGCAUGUUACGCCAUGUUUGGUGUUCUCACCUGCAUAUCCGUGCCAGCUGAACAGCACACGGACCACACCUGCCGCCCGGUUUCAAGAAUAAACAGCAAGAAAGACUCAAGUUACUUUUUCCCUCAAUCUCCACCCUCUCUCCAACACGAUUUGGGGAUUUCAUAAGAUAAGGUUGAGGAUUUGGAAUGUAGUUAGAUGGAAGGACGAGGGACCUGGAAGUUAAGGUAGUUCUGUGGUUGGUGCUAGGGCGGCAAUGCGGCUCUCGCCUUCGCCGGUGAGGGUGGCGGAGGAUGGCCUACGGAGAAGGUGAAGGCAGAGGGAACUUACUCCAACAUGUUACCAUGGCGAGUGGGAGUGGUCAUGGAGGAUCUGGCGAUGGGGAGCCACCGUUUGAGGAAGAGGGGGGAGGCAGCAUGAUUUUAGUUUUAUUCUAAGUUAAACUUUUCCAAGUUAGUCAAGUUUAUGGAAAAAUUCAUCAAUACUGCACCAUCAAACUGGUUUCAUUAAAACCACCAAGAAAUAUGUUUAAAUGUGUAGAUGACAUGUUCAACAACAUCGACGCACCUAUGAUGACUAUCCAUCUCAAAUCUAUUUGCCCAGUUUAUUGUAGACAGUUCAUAGAUAUGAGCGUGUGUGCGCAAUAGUGAAUUUGUAUCAUGUUCUUUUUUUUAAAAGAGAAAGAGAAAGAUGUGUGAGAGUGAAAACUCUAUACCAUAUUUGGAUACUAAGACAUAUUAAGCUCUUUUACGGUACUACUAGUCAGUGGUAUGUAAGUAUCCAUUCAUUAUUAUGGAUAAUUCAUUAAUUAUUUUAUUGUAAAAAGUGAUAUUUCAAAUGAAAUGGUUUUUUAAACUUUAUGCUAGUGUCAAAAAUAAAAUUAUAGUGAUGCUAUUUGUGUUUUUUUUACCGUGAUACCCUUAUACUACCUAUACUACUCAUGUAUACUACUAAUAACACAUGUGAAGAUUUUAGUAAUAUACAAUUAAUCAUGAACAUCGAAUGUUUUUAUACUAAUUCUUCUCGAACACUGGUAUAGUUUAAUAUUGUGUACUGUAAAAUAGCUCUAUACUAAAUAGCCGCAUUUGUGAGAUACGUAAUACAUCAACUUAGGAUUAAUCCCAUAUGAGUAGAACCAUCCAAGUUUGUUUUCCUCGUACCCACUAAAGCAUUGUAUAAUCAUAAACAAUAGAGACGGGAGGGGAAUGAUUACCAUUAAAAAGCUUGCAGUGCCAAUAUAUUGCACGAGCAAGGAGCUAGCUAGCUUGAUGACAGAUUGCCUCGCACGAAUCGAGCACUACUACAUGUCAAGCAAGCCAGCCUGUUUGCCCUACCUAUAUCGGCUACUCUAUUUGUUGACCUUUUCUAUAUAUCCUGAUAACAUUGUAUGUUUUGUCUACACUGAUCACUUGGAGAUUUUUCUUUUGACGACGGGUGGCCUCUAGCGACCCCUUGCUAUCCCACGCGACAGCACCAUGCUGCUAGCCUGUUUCAUUGUACUGGAUCGACGACCUGCGCCGGGUCCUUCACGACAAGGCGUUUCCGUCAGGGACUCGAAGCCGCCGACGAGGGGUGAGGUCAACGGUCAACCACCGCGCUUACAGGGAUGCUCCCGGCUCGCCGUACUGUGUUCCUCGUCCGUCAACUGGACAUGAAUGCGCCCGUCCUCUGGUGCGUCACGUACAGUUAGCCUUCUUCUGUAUAUAUACACAUGAAGGCUCCUCUUCUCCGAAACAGCACAGCACAGCACCUGUCCGGCCAUGGCUCCCCUCUACAUAGUACUGCUGGUUGGGCUUAUUUCCUUGUCUUCGCCCCACAAUCCUUUCGGUUCCGCCGCGACGACGCCAAAUGGUGACACUCUCGCUGCAGGCCAGGCGCUUGCCGUCGGUGACAAGCUCGUCUCAAGAAACGGCAAGUUCGCGCUCGGCUUUUUUUCCGCUUCCGGCAAAGCCUCGCUGCCAUUGGUAAGUCCACCGACAAGAACACCACAAUCUCCUCCCCCGGAUGGUAUCUUGGCAUAUGGUUCGAUAAGAUCCCGGUUUGCACCCCCGUGUGGAUUGCUAACCGGGAGAGGCCAAUCGCCGAAUCCGAACUCAAGGCCACACGGCUCAAAAUAUCAACAGAUGGCGACCUCGUUGUCGCCAUCUUGCACAAUCAUACCAGGAUCAAAUCCAUAUUCUGGACCACUAAUGGCACUAUUGCCAAUAGAACAAGAAGUAGCAGUGUCGUUCUCAUGAACACCGGAAACCUUGCCGUCCUACCAAAAGCCCCAUCGAAUGGUGUACCAUUGUGGCAGAGCUUUGACUACCCAGCAGAUGUCGGGCUUCCUUCAGCAAAGAUAGGCUGGGAUAAGGUCAUCGGCUUGAAUAGGUUUGGCAUCUCUAAGAAGAGCCUAAUUGAUCCAAGUUUUGGCUCAUACUCAAUUGAAGUAGGCACUGAUGGGGCGUUGCGCCUUACAAGUCGCAUAUCCCGCUAUGUAGUGUAUUGGUCUUGGCCACCAGGAAAAUUAGCACAACUUGUACAAGUACUCGAUGGGUUGAUGGACUCGGAUCCACGGACCAAGGGUUUGCUUACACCUAGAUAUCAAGAAAAUGACCAAGAGGUGUACUUCUCGUACAACAAAACGGAUGAAUCAGCUUCUGUAUUCGUCGAAAUAGGCAUCUCCGGUCAGCUCAAGCUGAAUGUUUGGUCGCGAGCCAAAGAAUCUUGGGAAACUGUAUACGCCCAGCCUUCUAGUUUUUGCUCAGCAUAUGCUGUAUGUGGACCUUUCACGGUCUGCAAUGGCAAUUCGGGCCCAUUAUUCUGUGACUGUAUGGAGACCUUCUCUCGGAAAUCGCCUCGAGAUUGGGACCUUGGUGAUCGAACAGGAGGGUGUGUUAGAAAUACUGCCUUAGAUUGCAUAGGUAGCAACAAAAGCAAGACAAGUUCAACAGAUGUGUUUCACCCCAUAUCUCGCGUUACGUUGCCCUAUGACGAACAGAGAAUAGAAGAUGCUGCCACGCAAACUGAUUGUGCAGAAGCUUGUCUCAAUAACUGCUCCUGCACCGCUUAUUCCUAUGAGAAUAGUAAAUGCUCUGUCUGGCACGGGGAAUUGCUCAAUGUCAAUCUGGACGAUGGGAUUGGUAUUUCUUCUCAAGAUGUUCUUUACCUUCGUCUUGCUGCAAGAGAUUUUCAAAGUUUGAGGGAGAACAACAAAAGAAUACCAAGAGUUAUUAUUGGUGCAAGCAUUGUUAGUUUUGGGUUUCUAAUGCUCAUGGUGUUGUUGAUGGUUUGGAUUGGAAACGGAUUCAAAUGGUUCAGUGUGCCAAUACAUGGCAUUCAAAAUAGUGGUGGAAUUGUGGCCUUUAGGUACACCGAUUUAGGCCGCGCAACUAAAAAUUUCUCAGAAAUGCUAGGAAGUGGUGGUUUCGGUUCUGUAUUCAAGGGAGUGUUAAGUCAAACAACUACAAUUGCAGUCAAAAGGCUUGAUGGUGCUCGCCAAGGAGAGAAGCAAUUUAGAGCUGAGGUGAGCUCAAUUGGGUUGAUUCAACAUAUCAACCUAGUGAAAUUGAUUGGUUUCUGCUGCGAAGGUGACAAGAGGCUACUUGUUUAUGAGCACAUGCCAAAUGGGUCUCUUGAUGCCCAUUUAUUUAAGAGCGAUGCUAUCAUCCUAAAUUGGAGCACAAGGUAUCAAAUAGCCAUAGGAGUUGCUAGAGGAUUAUGCUAUUUGCAUCAGAGUUGCCGUGAAUGCAUCAUACAUUGUGAUAUUAAGCCAGAAAACAUACUUCUCGACGCGUCAUUUGUUCCUAAAAUUGCAGACUUUGGGAUGGCAGCAUUUGUAGGAAGGGAAUUUAGCCGAGUUCUAACUACAUUCAGAGGAACUGUAGGGUAUCUUGCCCCAGAGUGGCUUAGCGGAGUUGCUAUAACACCGAAAGUUGAUGUUUAUAGCUUUGGUAUGGUACUAUUGGAAAUCAUAUCUGGAAAGAGGAACACACCAGAAGUGUGCAGUAAGAGCAGUUAUGAUGCUGCUUAUUUUCCCGUGCAAGCCAUCAACAAGCUUCAUGAGGGAGACCUGCAGAGUUUGGUGGAUCCACAGUUACAUGGUGACUUCGACUUGGAAGAGGCUGAAAGGGUUUGCAAAGUUGCAUUUUGGUGCAUCCAAGACAAUGAAUGUGAUCGGCUGACAAUGGGUGAAGUGGUCCGUGUUCUUGAGGGCCUUC
RNAcentral lists this long non-coding RNA (5528 nucleotides) under Setaria italica (foxtail millet). RNAcentral's name for it is "long non-coding RNA (SITA_LNC001801)". Lineage: Eukaryota; Viridiplantae; Streptophyta; Magnoliopsida; Poales; Poaceae. The record is from RNAcentral.